This 977-nucleotide long non-coding RNA is filed under the name Sorghum bicolor (sorghum). RNAcentral's name for it is "long non-coding RNA (SBIC_LNC010215)". The record is from RNAcentral. Lineage: Eukaryota; Viridiplantae; Streptophyta; Magnoliopsida; Poales; Poaceae.
AUAACUUUUUGUUUUGAAAUCAUCUUGUCAUGCAAAAACUACAUCUGAAUUUUUUAAAUUUGAAAAUUCUUUGACACUCGGCAAAGAACUUGUAACACCCAAAAAUUUACAAAUUUUGAAAUAGGUGGAAAUGAUUUAAUUCUGUAUUUUUGUGUUCAUGGAACAUAGAGAACUAAUAUUUUUCAUCGAAUUAAAAUAUGUUAUAGGAUUUAGCAACUUGUUUGUGCAUUUAUUUUUGGGGCAUUUGUUUUAUUGUUUGAUGUGUGUUUGACAAAAGUUCAAAAUAUUUCAAACAGAUUUAAAAAGGAUUUUGAAACGAGUUUUAAAUACCUUUUGGAAUAAAAAAAUAAAAAAAAGAAAAGGAAAACCUCUCCCUUCCUCAAUUCUGGCCCGACGGCCUACUCCUCUUCUUGCUCUGGCCCAAGUGGAAAACCCCUCCCCUUUUCCUUCUCACUGCGGCCCAAACUCCCUCCCCUCUCUUGGCCCGUCGCUCGGCCCAAGCCGCGAAUCCUUCUCCCCAGCUCCGGCCCAAGCUUCCGCUGUAGCCCACGAGUGCGCUCCUCUCCCUCCCCUUUUCUUUCUUCCACUGCCAGCCAGUCCCCACCUGUCAGCGAUAUCCUCAUCUCCUACCUGGCGUCGGGGGCGAGCAGGACUCUGCUCCGACCCAAAACACCGAGAUCCGCUUUAAAUCUUUCGCGGAUUUUGGUUCUAUAAAUGGGAUCGGGAAUCGCACCGCCUUCCUUUCCUCCCUGUUUGCGUGGACGCGAGCUCCAUCCUGCCCUAUCCUAACUUGCAAGCGCCGCCGCCAUCCUGCAGUUUGACACCAAGCGCGGAUCAACGUUUCCUCCGCGGUUGUGCCUCCGUAAGCUUGAUGCCGGGCCUCGUACCGAACUUGUGAAGUCGCCCACACUCCUCUUUCUAUUUUUCGUACUCUAAGUACCCGGCUAACCUUCGCCGAACUACGCAGGAGCCCCGCC